This is an RNA transcript of Phacochoerus africanus (Common warthog), 2024 nucleotides long. It is a transcript of the gene named vesicle transport through interaction with t-SNAREs 1B, with no coding region annotated. NCBI's taxonomy places the organism in Eukaryota, Metazoa, Chordata, Mammalia, Artiodactyla, Suidae. The transcript has 7 exons. The record is from RefSeq and is a predicted model, not a curated record.
AAGCGCCUCGUCUUGGGAGGUGGUGGCGGCGGUCGCCGUGAUGCCUGCGGGGCUGGGCGGCUGACGGUGGCGUAGAAGUGGGCCCCGAGCCCUGAAUCUCGGCGGCCUCUGUUGUAGAGCGGCCUCCGCCAUGGCCACCUCCGCCGCCUCCUCGGAGCAUUUCGAGAAACUGCACGAGAUCUUCCGCGGCCUCCAUGAAGACCUACGAGGGGUGCCGGAGCGGCUCCUGGGGAUAGCAGGGACAGAAGAGAAGAAGAAGUUAAUCAGGGAUUUUGAUGAAAAGCAACAAGAAGCAAAUGAAACGCUGGCAGAGAUGGAAGAGGAACUACGUUACGCACCCCUGACCUUUCGUAACCCUAUGAUGUCGAAGCUUCGAACCUACCGUAAGGACCUUGCCAAGCUCCAUCGGGAAGUGAGAAGCACACCUUUGACAUCCGCACCUGGGGGCCGAGGAGACAUGAAAUAUGGUACAUACUCUGUAGAGGAUGAGCAUAUGAAUCGGCUACAGUCUCAAAGAGUAUUGCUUCUGCAAGGCACUGACAGCCUGAACCGGGCCACCCAGAGCAUUGAGCGUUCUCAUCGGAUUGCCACGGAAACUGACCAGAUUGGCUCAGAAAUCAUAGAAGAGCUAGGAGAGCAGCGUGACCAGUUGGAACGUACCAAGAGUAGACUGGUAAACACCAGUGAAAACUUGAGCAAAAGUCGGAAGAUUCUCCGUUCAAUGUCCAGAAAAGUGACAACCAACAAGCUGCUGCUUUCUAUCGUCAUCUUACUGGAGCUAGCCAUCCUUGGAGGCCUGGUUUAUUACAAAUUCUUUCGCAGGCUGUGAACCUCCUACAGGGAAGGUUUUGUGGACCAGAACUUGGACUCUGUGAAUGAAUGGUGUUAGAGGUGUGGAGAAAUCAUAUCGCUGCUAUGAGCUAAUGGUUCAAGAAGGCACUGUGUAGCCAGACUGUGGGAGAAAGGGGCACGACGGAAAACCACUUAAAUGUGAAGGAACAGCAAUAAGACAAGUGUGAUAUACCAAGCCUGGGAAAAUACUACCUAGAGGUAAUCAUGGUUUUGCUUGUCUUCUGGACCAACGGAACCGAAUGAGGCCUGGGAGCUUCUAACCAAGAGGUCUUCAGGCUGUAAAUGUAUCAAAUCACUAGUUAACGACCCACGGCCACGUUCCUUUAUUAUGAGGAUGUGAACCCCUACUGAGAGCAGGGACCAUGUCCUGGUCACCUUUAUAGCCCUGGCAUCUAGACUGCCUGGUCCAAAAUAUUGCCUGAUGAACGAAUGAGAGCAUGGUAAGCAUUUCUACCACUACCCCAAAUCCAUCCUUCACAAAAGUCUCAUUGCACUAGACCCUCAAAGCCCCAGGAGAACCUCUGCAAGCUGUUCAAUUUUCUCUUCCUUUCAGCCCACUGACCUUGUCCUGUAGUUCUCUGAGGAGAAAUGAAACUGGUUGUCCAUGGAGAUUUCCAGAUGAAGUGGUGAGGGGUGUGUUGAUGUCAGCAUGGGCAUCAACCCAGAUCACACAAAGGUCUGGGCAGUGCCGGGCGUGGCCACUAAUGGUACCAAUUGCCAGGCUGCAAAGAACACAUAAAAUAAUCUUAAAGGCCUUCCACUUGGCAGAUGUCACCACUAACAAAAAUCCUCAGCCAACACAGCUCACAGUUUAUCCUUAGGGCAAAGUCAGGGCCCCAGACUGAGCCUGGAUUUGGAAGAGACAGAGUCCCUGGGGCUGUUGCUCCCAAAGAGGAACCUUGAGUGAGAGAGACAGAGAGAAAUGGAAGGUUCUAAAGAUUCCAAAGUGAUGACCGGUUAUCCCUAUAGUGUGGUGUCAUUGCUACCCCCAAAUCCCUUUAAUUUGAUCCAUUAGCCUUGGCCUGGGAAAGGACCUAAAAUGUUUGUUCAACAGAUGAACUCCUACUAAAUGAUGUGAUCUAUAUUUAACAACUCUAAUACUACUACUUAAUACUUCUCGAGAGACCAAGGAGAUCUAAUUAUAUAACAUUAUUAAAUUUUUAACGAUAAAA